ACGAUGAACCACCUUCGGGUGGGGAUUAGUGGCGAACGGGUGAGUAACACGUGGGCAAUCUGCCCUGCACUCUGGGACAAGCCCUGGAAACGGGGUCUAAUACCGGAUACUGACCCUCGCAGGCAUCUGCGAGGUUCGAAAGCUCCGGCGGUGCAGGAUGAGCCCGCGGCCUAUCAGCUAGUUGGUGAGGUAAUGGCUCACCAAGGCGACGACGGGUAGCCGGCCUGAGAGGGCGACCGGCCACACUGGGACUGAGACACGGCCCAGACUCCUACGGGAGGCAGCAGUGGGGAAUAUUGCACAAUGGGCGAAAGCCUGAUGCAGCGACGCCGCGUGAGGGAUGACGGCCUUCGGGUUGUAAACCUCUUUCAGCAGGGAAGAAGCGAAAGUGACGGUACCUGCAGAAGAAGCGCCGGCUAACUACGUGCCAGCAGCCGCGGUAAUACGUAGGGCGCAAGCGUUGUCCGGAAUUAUUGGGCGUAAAGAGCUCGUAGGCGGCUUGUCACGUCGGUUGUGAAAGCCCGGGGCUUAACCCCGGGUCUGCAGUCGAUACGGGCAGGCUAGAGUUCGGUAGGGGAGAUCGGAAUUCCUGGUGUA
This 597-nucleotide ribosomal RNA is filed under the name Streptomyces mutabilis. Its description in RNAcentral is "bacterial SSU rRNA". It matches the Rfam family "Bacterial small subunit ribosomal RNA", at positions 66 to 677 of the family's 1533-position model. Lineage: Bacteria; Bacillati; Actinomycetota; Actinomycetes; Kitasatosporales; Streptomycetaceae. The record is from RNAcentral.